AACUCAGUUCCGUGGUCCGAAAGGGCGUGGGUUCGAAUCCCACUCUUGUCAACAACCAUCCUCUCCACCCAGCUCAGGUGGAGCCUCUCUUUUUCUCUCUUUCAACCUUUUU
Non-coding RNA from Sordaria macrospora k-hell, 112 nucleotides. The record is from the annotation of a RefSeq genome assembly. Lineage: Eukaryota; Fungi; Ascomycota; Sordariomycetes; Sordariales; Sordariaceae.